UAGUAACUGCGAGUGAAGCGGGAAAAGCUCAAAUUUAAAAUCUGGCAGUCUUUGGCUGUCCGAGUUGUAAUCUAGAGAAGUGUUAUCCGCGCUGGACCGUGUACAAGUCUCCUGGAAUGGAGCGUCAUAGAGGGUGAGAAUCCCGUCUUUGACACGGACUGCCAGGGCUUUGUGAUGCGCUCUCAAAGAGUCGAGUUGUUUGGGAAUGCAGCUCAAAAUGGGUGGUAAAUUCCAUCUAAAGCUAAAUAUUGGCGAGAGACCGAUAGCGAACAAGUACCGUGAGGGAAAGAUGAAAAGAACUUUGGAAAGAGAGUUAAACAGUACGUGAAAUUGCUGAAAGGGAAACGCUUGAAGUCAGUCGCGUUGUCCAGGGAUCAACCUUGCUUUUGCUUGGUGUACUUUCUGGUUGACGGGUCAGCAUCAAUUUUGACUAUUGGAAAAAUUUCAAGGGAAUGUGGCAUCUUCGGGUGUGUUAUAGCCCUUUUUUGUAUACAAUGGUUAGGAUUGAGGAACUCAGCACGCCGCAAGGCCGGGUUUUUAACCACGUACGUGCUUAGGAUGCUGGCAUAAUGGCUUUAAUCGACCCGUCUUGAAACACGGACCAAGGAGUCUAACAUACCUGCGAGUGUUUGGGUGGAAAACCCGAGCGCGCAAUGAAAGUGAAAGUUGAGAUCCCUGUCAUGGGGAGCAUCGACGCCCGGACCAGACCUUUUGUGACGGCUCCGCGGUAGAGCAUGUAUGUUGGGACCCGAAAGAUGGUGAACUAUGCCUGAAUAGGGUGAAGCCAGAGGAAACUCUGGUGGAGGCUCGUAGCGAUUCUGACGUGCAAAUCGAUCGUCAAAUUUGGGUAUAGGGGCGAAA
RNAcentral lists this ribosomal RNA (861 nucleotides) under Cystinarius eutactus. Its description in RNAcentral is "partial large subunit ribosomal RNA". It matches the Rfam family "Eukaryotic large subunit ribosomal RNA", at positions 81 to 928 of the family's 3401-position model. Lineage: Eukaryota; Fungi; Basidiomycota; Agaricomycetes; Agaricales; Cortinariaceae. The record is from RNAcentral.